This 468-nucleotide ribosomal RNA is filed under the name uncultured bacterium. Its description in RNAcentral is "partial 16S ribosomal RNA". It matches the Rfam family "Bacterial small subunit ribosomal RNA", at positions 28 to 507 of the family's 1533-position model. The record is from RNAcentral.
GACGAACGCUGGCGGCGUGCUUAACACAUGCAAGUCGAACGGAAAGGCCCUGCUUUUGUGGGGUGCUCGAGUGGCGAACGGGUGAGUAACACGUGAGUAACCUGCUCUUGACUUUGGGAUAACUUCAGGAAACUGGGGCUAAUGCCGGAUAGGAGCUCCUGCUGCAUGGUGGGGGUUGGAUAGUUUCGGCGGUUGGGGAUGGACUCGCGGCUUAUCAGCUUGUUGGUGGGGUAGUGGCUUACCAAGGCUUUGACGGGUAGCCGGCCUGAGAGGGUGACCGGCCACAUUGGGACUGAGAUACGGCCCAGACUCCUACGGGAGGCAGCAGUGGGGAAAAUUGCACAAUGGGCGGAAGCCUGAUGCAGCAACGCCGCGUGCGGGAUGACGGCCUUCGGGUGGUAAACCGCUUUCGCCUGUGACGAAGCGUGAGUGACGGUAAUGGGUAAAGAAGCACCGGCUAACUACGUG